UAAUUUACAUUUUCCCUGCUUCAUCCUUCCUAACCAUUUAUUUGAUAUUCCAACUAGGGAACAACACUAUGUGACAGGAGGCAUUGUCAACUGGGAAGGGAGAGGUAAAUAGUUCCUUAUGGAGGCUUUGAAUUCAGGGAAGGACCUCUCCAAGUAAUGACAUUAUUGAUACAGAAAAGUUGCUUAGAUCUUAUUGGCCAUUCAUUAAUUUGGCUAAUUUUCUUGAACCUAAAUGGAAAAUUAAUUGAAUGUCAAGUGUUCCCUUAGCGAAUAUACCUUGUGAUGGAAAAUGCUGCAAAAUGAAGUUGAAUCCUGACAAAGAUAGAAUCAUUAUAGAGUCACUUUACGGAUCUGGGAGCAGAAGUAUACUAUGGGGAGAGGUAUUUGACUGGAAGUGACCUCUGGAUGCCUUGACCAUGCCUUAAGUACCUGGGAGGCGGAGCUGAGGAAAUAUAAAGAGCCUUGGUGGCGCAGCAGACUAAAGCACUGUUAAGUAACACCA
Non-coding RNA from Pantherophis guttatus, 502 nucleotides. Lineage: Eukaryota; Metazoa; Chordata; Lepidosauria; Squamata; Colubridae. The record is from RefSeq and is a predicted model, not a curated record.